CUGAUGUUCUAAGAAGCAUUUUAAAAUGUUUGUUAACAGCAUGCAGUGUAUGGGAUGUUUAAUGGGCACCCUGCCUUUGAGACAGUGACUAUUUGACCUAUGUCUUGCUGCCUCAUCUGUAGCAAGGCAGAAUGGAAAUUGUGGAAGCUUUAUGGCACUGCUGAGAACGGAGCCCCAGUGCACACCAAUGGGAAGCCUUACCUUGUUCCAGCAGCCUUGGACUGGUAAGCCAUCUUCGCCCUGCAAGGAGAAAGGAAGGCAGAGGGCUCAGACUUCCUGCAAUGGUCCACCAAGUGGGCAGGACAGGGGUAACAAGGGCCACACGCAUUUUGGCAGCUGAUCAGGAUGUGGCCCACCCACGCUUGUCUAUUUCUUUUCUCUACUACAGGUCAGAACCUCAGAAGGAGGUGGAAACAAAUCCGGCUAUUUUACCAUUGGUUAAAGGUCACAUGCAGCUAUAGUGCAACGUCAAUAGGGGCUGUCCUAGCCCGUGGGACCAGCAAGCAGAGAUGUCCUUCCGUGCCACGAAGAAACAGUCUCUGCUGUGGCCCUAUGGAGUGCCGGCUGCUCACGGCUGUAAAUAGAAUCCAGCAUUUGUAUUGUCACCAGAGAGCACAGCUGUAUUGGUGAAGAGCCUUUACACAGAGGACACCCAUGACCCAGGGCACGGGCAGCUCUCGAGGCCCACCUACCAGUCCUGACUCAUCACCUCCAGCUCAGAUCAUCAUCUGCCCCAGCCCUGUUGGGUCAACCCUAAUCUGCAGCCCAGUACCUGCUUUCUGGAGGGGAGAAAUCAAAUCCUUGCUUCCAGGCUGCCAUCCCCAGCCCCCCCGUCCAGUGCCCAAGGAAAGCCAGGAGGAGCAAAACUUACCAUCAAGGCCAGCGUCCGGAUCUCCUAAAAAACCAACACCAGGCAAUCAGUUGAAGAGCAAACCAAGAGCCAAGUGGAAGGUUCUCACUGCACAGUCAUGGAAACAUGGGAGCUAGGCCCCUCAAAGGAGCGUGGGUGGAGGGAGACGCUUGCAGGUGGGCUCCAUGGCCCCCAGACUCACACCACCCCCACCCCACCUCUCGCUGAGGUUUGUAAUCACUGGAGAGAGAAUACGUAGCAUCUCCUAAGCAUGAUUAUACUCUGAGGCCGUCCUACAAUGGACUCAGGCACACCCUAAAUGGACUGCAACCUUUACUUCACUUUACUGAAGGGAAGGAAGCACCACCUCUUAUUCUUUCUAGUCACCUUCUGAGGACCCUCCCUUGUUCUUUCCUCUUCUCCCAGAACCCAGAUUUCAAAGUUGCCACGCACCUCCCUUUAAACAGACACAAUAUAGCAAAAUAUGGAACCACUCAAAAAAUAGAUCAGGGAGAUGAUUGUUGGCUUUAAAAGAGGAUUUUACACCUUGUAAAUGGAGUCACAUACGGACACAGACUCCUUUGAAGAAGUGGUUCUUGAGCAGGGGCAAUUUCUUCCCCCAAGGGAUAACUGGUCAUGUCUGGAGACAUAGUUUGGUUGUCACAGCUGAGGCUCGGGUGCUACUGGCAUCUAGCAGGUAGAGACUGGGGACGCUGCUGCACAUCCUACAACACACAGGACCGACUCUCCCCCCACCACAAAGAUUCUCUAGCCCCAAAAGUCAGUGCCAAGGCUGGGAAACCCUGCUUUAAAGGGUGGGGAGCGGGAGCUCAUGAACUUGAAACAGGGUUAAACUGACACGAAAGGAGAUGCGUUCCAGGAAGAUUUGCUGCUGCAUGAAAGGGGGUUAUACAUGCAUUAAAGAAAUGGGGCCCCAGCACCCUGCAUGGGCCGUAACUUGUGGGGUGCCAGGAUAAUUCCACUAUGGCACUCAGGGGCCCUGAGGCAGGAUAACUGGCCAGCUGGGCCCAGACAGAGAGCCCCGGCCACCUGGAUGCCAGUAAUGGGGCCAUUUCCCAGGAGGCUACACAGCGGGAGGUCAAAGGAGAGAAAGCGAGGAAGCAGCUCUCCUGGAAGCGCUGCCUGAGGGCCUGAGGGCAGGGCCCCUACUCGGCUGUGUGGAAGGGCCCCCUGAUCAGGGCAUGGUGCAGAGCCUGAGAUCCAUGAGGAUCUUGGCCUCUGGGCUGGACCCUGCUCACCUGGAGAGCCUCAUUGAUGUUUCCAUUGUAAUCCACCAUCUCUCCUUUCCCUGGUUCUCCCUUGGAGCCCUGGAAGGCAAAUGAGAUCUCAACCCACGGCCUGGACCGGGAGGGCCGGGAGGGCAACUGUGGCCUGCUCUCUAUCAGCCCACACUGGCUGCACCUAGCUGCACAUGGGUGGACCCAGAACAGCCAGCGGGGCCCUGGGGAUUCUGAACACUCUCAGAGGAUGCUCGGGGAUUGCAGAACAAAUCGAGAAGACUCCAUGUGAGAAGUCUGGGCUAGGCCGACCUGGGAAGAUUGGGUCCACCUGUGCUGCCAGUCAGACCUCCCACCUGAGGGCCAGAAUGCUCUUCCCCUCCUGCCUCGUCAAGACCCCAAGGUCAAGCCUGUGAAAGGGACAUAAAAACUUGGGACCCCAGUUCACUCUGCCAAAAGAAAAAAAGUUCAGCUGAAAGCUGAGUCAUGCAAGAAGCUGCCUUUCCUUUUGUUCCUAAUCAGACAGCUACAGAUAAAAGGUUAAAUAUCCCCACAGGUAGCUGCUCCAUGUUCACCACAGCUUACAUAAAGUGCCGAUUUACUGAGCGUGAGACUAAUACAUAAUCAACUAUUCCGCUACUUGCUCCUUUUCCCUUGCAGUGUGUGGAUUACCAUACCCUUCCUCUUUCCCCUCCAGCCUGCUUUUCCCCUUUAAAUAUUGAAGCCCUCAAAAUCAUCUUUGGCAAAAGGCACAGACCUGUCUCUUGGGCACGUGCCCUUAACCUUGGCAAAAUAAACUUCUAAAUAUUAAUUGAGACCUGUCUCAGAUGCUUUUUUGAUUUACCAGCCGCUUCACGCUGUGACUCCAGGAGGGAGAGGCACAUACCUUGGGGCCAUCUGGUCCCUGUUCUCCAGCUGCUCCACGCUCCCCCUGUUGCAUGACAAAAUUGGAGCAAAGUGGGGAUAAAGUUGGUACAGAGAGCCUGAUGUCCCUAGAUGGGCCAUGUGAUAAGGGCCA
RNAcentral lists this long non-coding RNA (3106 nucleotides) under Homo sapiens (human). RNAcentral describes it as "LHRI_LNC1738.2". The record is from RNAcentral. Lineage: Eukaryota; Metazoa; Chordata; Mammalia; Primates; Hominidae.